AACGAACGCUGGCGGUGCGUCUUAAGCAUGCAAGUCGAACGGUAACGGGCCUUCGGGUGCCGACGAGUGGCGAACGGGUGAGUAACACGUAGGUGAUCUGCCUUUGGGUUGGGGAUAGCCUGUGGAAACACAGGGUAAUACCGAAUGAUGUCGUAGUACUGUGGUGCAACGAUUAAAGGGGCUAUGGCCCCGCCUGAAGAUGAGCCUGCGGCUGAUUAGCGAGUUGGUGAGGUAAAGGCUCACCAAGGCGACGAGCAGUAACCGGCCUGGGAGGGUGGCCGGUCACACUGGGACUGAGAUACGGCCCAGACUCCUACGGGAGGCAGCAGCUAAGAAUCUUCCGCAAUGGACGAAAGUCUGACGGAGCGACACCGCGUGAGUGAUGAAGGCGGAAACGUUGUAAAGCUCUUUUAUGGAUGAGGAAUAAGCUUGGAAGGGAACGUCCGAGUGAUGACGGUAGUCCAUGAAUAAGCCCCGGCUAAUUACGUGCCAGCCGCCGCAGUAA
This 505-nucleotide ribosomal RNA is filed under the name uncultured bacterium. Its description in RNAcentral is "partial 16S ribosomal RNA". It matches the Rfam family "Bacterial small subunit ribosomal RNA", at positions 29 to 523 of the family's 1533-position model. The record is from RNAcentral.